RNAcentral lists this ribosomal RNA (207 nucleotides) under uncultured bacterium. RNAcentral describes it as "partial 16S ribosomal RNA". It matches the Rfam family "Bacterial small subunit ribosomal RNA", at positions 568 to 774 of the family's 1533-position model. The record is from RNAcentral.
CGCGUAGGCGGCCAGGUAAGUCUGAUGUGAAAGCCCUCGGCUCAACCGAGGAUCCGCAUUGGAAACUACCUGGCUUGAGGCCAGGAGGGGAGGGUGGAAUUCCCGGUGUAGCGGUGAAAUGCGUAGAGAUCGGGAGGAACACCUGUGGCGAAGGCGGCCCUCUGGAAUGGUACUGACGCUGAGGCGCGAAAGCUGGGGGAGCGAACG